GAGAAAGAGGGAGAUGCAUCUGAUUCACCCAAACUCAUAAUCCAAGGAGAUCCAUUUGACUCGGCCAAGUCCCAGUGGAUGGUCAUGGUUGAAAGCAGAGUUAUUGGCCAUUCAUCAUCAACAACUGAAGGCUUUCUUUGUGGGGUGGCAUACCUUUUUGCCACCUAUUACAACCUCAAUUUGGAAUAUCCAAGCACGGCUGCAGCAACACUGGAGUUCAUUCAGAGAUGUCUCCUCGGAAUAAGCCCUGAUGGGUCGAAGUGCCAUGCGUCAAAGAGUCACUGCAACGUGAAAGUAGUGUCAUUUGUGCGUCGGUUUGCUGAUUUCCAGUGGCUUUAAUUUCCUGAUUUGUACAUUUUACCCCAUCAUCUAAAAACAUGUGAUUUUAUAUAUCACCCAAUAAUACUAUGUUCGCUUGGUCACCAUCCUCUUGAAUAAUUGGUUGAGCUUUGUCUGACCAAGCAACUACAGAGUUUAUGCCCAAUAUUGCAUAACAUGAGAAACUUGCUGAAAUAGAUUGUCGACAUGCUAGUUAUGAGAGAACAUUCAUUUGAAUAUGCUAUUAAGUUGACAUUGCCCACAACUUUAUUUUAGCCGUUUCUCAAAUCCAGGUCAAGUAAGAGUGGGGGAGGGGUAAAAUUCAUAUAGAAAUUGUAAAUGUAAAGGGGUUUCAUACUUGGAAAAAUAAAGUUAAGAAUAUCUCCUUACAACCGAAUUUGAACCAUACAAAAACAUAGAUAUAUGGCACUACACACUGUUUGUAUGCCUCCGCCCACCAAAGGUGGUGUCGGAGGCAUUAUGUUUUUGUGUUGUCCGUCGGUCCGUCUGUCCCACUUUCGUUCUCGCGAUAACUUAAAAACCGGUCAACAGGUCAACUUCAUACUUUUUGACUUGAGGAUACAUAUCUGGGCGACAAUGAGCUGAUAAGUGUUUGGGUCCAAAGGUCAAAGGUCAUAGAAUUCACUAAAAUACAUAAGAAAUAGACCAUUCUUACAAUAACUCCAAAACCCUUUGAUAGAUCAACUUCAAACUUGUCUCGUGUGUAUAUGUUAAAGUAACAAUGAUCUGUUCAGAUUUUGGGGUCUCAAGGUCAAAAGUCAAGGUCAUUGAAUACAAUAAAGUACAUAUAACAUAUACCGUUCUCGCAAUAACUCCAAACCAUUUGACGAAUCAACUUCAAACUUCGCUCAUUUGUGCAUAUACAAGUGACAAUGAUCUAUUAAGAUUUUGGGUCUGAAAGUCAAAUCUCAAGCUCUCUGGAUUCAAUCAAAUGCAUAUAUUUGCUUUUUUGAGAAACAGUUAUCUGACUAGAUUUUGAAGUCACAAGAUCAAAGGUCUUGAGGGUUUUUUUUUUCUUUAUGGAAAUAAAAACUAGGAAAUAUAUUUCUGGUAUGGCAGUAGCGGAGGCAUCUAUUUCCAACAUUCGUGGUCGAAAAUUCAUCUUUAGUUAGGAUUAACAUUGCUGUAAAUCAAUUUCGAUUUCAACAUUGUGCUACAUUAUAUAUAUAUGUAUAUAUAUAUACUGCGUAGUAAGCGCUUGGUCAUCAAGAUGUUGACAAAUAUUGCAAUAAGCUGUUUACUGAGAA
This is a long non-coding RNA of Lytechinus pictus (painted urchin), 1586 nucleotides long. RefSeq lists it as uncharacterized. The record is from RefSeq and is a predicted model, not a curated record. NCBI's taxonomy places the organism in Eukaryota, Metazoa, Echinodermata, Echinoidea, Temnopleuroida, Toxopneustidae. The transcript has 3 exons.